Talpa occidentalis (Iberian mole) is the source of this 662-nucleotide long non-coding RNA. RefSeq lists it as uncharacterized. The record is from RefSeq and is a predicted model, not a curated record. The transcript has 5 exons. NCBI's taxonomy places the organism in Eukaryota, Metazoa, Chordata, Mammalia, Eulipotyphla, Talpidae.
CACUAUUAUAUCUAUUCUAACCCUACAAGGGAUAUACGCCGAAGGAAGAUACUUAUGCUUGAGGAUGGAAUGAUGCUGCCCACAUUCAUUGUUGGCUUGUCUUUUAAGAAAUAGUCUUGGAAUUCCUGUAUUAGACACUGUUCCACUGCUGAGAAUGUAACAGAAGAUAGACAUGAAGGGACUCUCUCCCUCAUGAAACUGCUCUACUGGAGGAAUAUAUUCAACUACAAUGAGUUUAAUACAGCGAUUAGACUGGGUCAACUCGUCUACAUUGUCAGAAACCAUGUUUUAUGCAGGUUUCUAUUCUGACAAGCACAAAACCCUGCACCAAGUUGAACCUGUUCUUUGUGAUGAGGCUGUUGAACAGAAGAGCAGCAUAGCAGUCUGUCUAUUCUUGCUCCACAUACAGCUAAAUGCCAACUCCGAUCCCUUUGAGAUGGUGAGCAGACUGAACUCAGGGAGAGUGUCAUCUCUCAGUAUCCAAGCUUCUUCAGAGAACCAUGUGGUGAAAGUUCUUGAUUAAGGUCAUACCCUUAGUCCCUGGCAUCAUUUUUUUAUAAGCUAAAGAUAACUGUCUAAAAUCCAUAUAUAUAAGUGUAGCAGUAGAUAAAAAUACUCAAAGCUUGUGUCUACAAAUCAUCAAAAUCAAAAGAAAUAAUAUU